AGCUUCCUCCACUGCCUUUGCUAGCAAGUGCUCACAUUACAUCAUGCCCCUUGCGGCUGGUGCUGGUCUGCUGCUGCUGCUGGUGUCUCUGAGCCUCGUCUGGACCCUCUGCCCUUCUACUCUAGGACUCAAGCCCAGGAUCUCAGCACCCCCAGCUUCAGAGGAGCACCAGGGUGGGAUCUUAUACGCUCAUCUGGAUUUUGAUUCGCGGAAUCGCAACGGGCGCACGAUGCAGCGAUCGGCCAGAGGGAAACAUCUAAACCCUGAACCGUCUAGUGCAGGGGAAUCCACACGUGGGAACUGAUAGUUGGUUCUCUGCUGAUCGGACGUAGCAGCUGGAAGAAGGCUCUGUCUGUCUCCGUCUCCUUUCUUUUUUAUUUUCUCCACUUCUCUGUUUAGAAUAAAAAGCUCAGAAGAUCCCCACUGAGUCCAGCCUCAUCAGGUGGGAAAUCUCCUUUUGGGAUAUAAAGGCAUCACGGUAUAGAUGACUUUACACGUCACUUGUGUAUUCGAUUGGAAGCUCUUUGGGGCAAGGACUGUCUCUUUGUUCUCUGUUUGUGCAGCGCCUAGCAAAAUGGGUGCUAUGGUAACUCAAUAAUUGUCAUCAUCAUGCUCUCAUCUGCAGAGGGACCCGGACACAGCUGAACGCCUGCAGCUUCCCUGCACAGAGAGGCCGGAUGGCAGAAGCCUGCAGAGGGGCCGUGCAGCCCCUGUAUAUGUCACAGCUCCCAGCUCCCCUGAUCCUCAGCAGGCUCGUGCUCCCUUUGCAGUAACGUUACAUGGACGUGCAAUGGGAUUGUGAAGGGGCAGGAUGGAUGCGGGAGGAGCUGGGAGGGAUGAGAAUCUCUCCUCAGGCCAGUGCGGGAGCUGCUACUCCAGUGCUUCCUCUGGAGCAGUGUUUCUCGACCACCAGUCCGUGGACCAGCGUCGGUCCCUGAGAUCUCCCUGACACAGUUUAGGAAGGCAGCAAGCCGGUCCCUGAUAUUCAGAAGGUUAAGAAACGCUGCUCUAGAGUCUGCUGCUUUCCCCCAUGGGCAAGAUCCAUAGGGCCCCAUGUGCCAGCCCCUCUGCACCA
This is a long non-coding RNA of Chrysemys picta bellii (western painted turtle), 1075 nucleotides long. RefSeq lists it as uncharacterized. The record is from RefSeq and is a predicted model, not a curated record. NCBI's taxonomy places the organism in Eukaryota, Metazoa, Chordata, Testudines, Emydidae.